GAAUCUGCCCGAUAGUGGGGGAUAACCUGGGGAAACCCAGGCUAAUACCGCAUACAUCCUACGGGAGAAAGGGGGCUCCGGCUCCCGCUAUUGGAUGAGCCUAUGUCGGAUUACCUAGUUGGUAAGGUAAUGGCUUACCAAGGCAACGAUCCGUAGCUGGUCUGAUAGGAUGAUCAGCCACAUCGGGACUGAGACACGGCCCGAACUCCUACGGGAGGCAGCAGUGGGGAAUAUUGGACAAUGGGGGCAACCCUGAUCCAGCCAUGCCGCGUGUGUGAAGAAGGCCCUCGGGUUGUAAAGCACUUUCAGCGAGGAAGAACGCCUAUC
This 327-nucleotide ribosomal RNA is filed under the name marine sediment bacterium BB0608_AND_6.2_17G0. Its description in RNAcentral is "bacterial SSU rRNA". It matches the Rfam family "Bacterial small subunit ribosomal RNA", at positions 122 to 457 of the family's 1533-position model. The record is from RNAcentral.